RNAcentral lists this small RNA (27 nucleotides) under Bombyx mori (domestic silkworm). RNAcentral's name for it is "ovarian small RNA-6150". The record is from RNAcentral. Lineage: Eukaryota; Metazoa; Arthropoda; Insecta; Lepidoptera; Bombycidae.
UACUAAGUUGAAAGCUUAGGUGGACUA